This 491-nucleotide ribosomal RNA is filed under the name uncultured bacterium. RNAcentral's name for it is "partial 16S ribosomal RNA". It matches the Rfam family "Bacterial small subunit ribosomal RNA", at positions 28 to 523 of the family's 1533-position model. The record is from RNAcentral.
GACGAACGCUGGCGGCGUGCUUAACACAUGCAAGUCGAACGGAAAGGCCCUGCUUGCAGGGUACUCGAGUGGCGAACGUGUGAGUAACACGUGGGUGAUCUGCCCUGCACUUCGGGAUAAGCCUGGGAAACUGGGUCUAAUACCGGAUAGGACCAUCGUGUAGUGUCGGUGGUGUAAAGUUUUUCGGUGCAGGAUGAGCCCGCGGCCGAUCAGCUUGUUGGUGGGGUAAUGGCCUACCAAGGCGUCGACGGGUAGCCGGCCUGAAAGGGUGGACGGCGCCCUUGGGACUGAGACCCGGCGCAGUCUCCGACGCGGGGCAGCAGUGGGCAAUAUGGCACAAUGGGCGCAAGCCUGAUGCAGCGACGCCGCGUGGGGGAUGAAGGCCUUCGGGUUGUAAACUCCUUUCAACCAUGACGAAGCUGGUCUUAUUGGGUCAGUGACGGUAGUGGUAGAAGAAGCACCGGCUAACUACGUGCCAGCCGCCGCCGUAA